Molecule: long non-coding RNA, 342 nt
Filed under: Homo sapiens (human)
Lineage: Eukaryota; Metazoa; Chordata; Mammalia; Primates; Hominidae
Description: HSALNT0239740
Source: RNAcentral
UGUUGUUCUGGGAAAUUAGAAGAGCAUCACAGAUGACUCCCUGCUUCUCUUGCAGACCUAAAUCCACAGCCCAGCUUUGAGAAAAAAUCAAUAUUCCUUGAGAGAAAGGGCGCAUUUCUGUAUUUAUUAAGUCUCUGAGUCCUUUAUGUUGUGAGAAGAGUUCCUUGUAGAGGCUUUCUGGAGUAUAAGUCAGGAUCUCCAGCAGCUCACUCUCCACCAGCUUCUUGGCCAGCUCAGCAUCGGCUGCCAGUAGGUUGUAGGCAAUGACCAGGCCCCGGUGUUGGACAGACAGCUGGUCGUGCAGGCAAAGCCGCUGGAGGAUCUCCAACCACUGGGUUGUCU